This 2923-nucleotide ribosomal RNA is filed under the name Klebsiella pneumoniae. RNAcentral's name for it is "bacterial LSU rRNA". It matches the Rfam family "Bacterial large subunit ribosomal RNA". Lineage: Bacteria; Pseudomonadati; Pseudomonadota; Gammaproteobacteria; Enterobacterales; Enterobacteriaceae. The record is from RNAcentral.
GGGUUGUGAGGUUAAGCGACUAAGCGUACACGGUGGAUGCCCUGGCAGUCAGAGGCGAUGAAGGACGUGCUAAUCUGCGAAAAGCGUCGGUAAGGUGAUAUGAACCGUUAUAACCGGCGAUGUCCGAAUGGGGAAACCCAGUGCAAUUCGUUGCACUAUCGUUAACUGAAUACAUAGGUUAACGAGGCGAACCGGGGGAACUGAAACAUCUAAGUACCCCGAGGAAAAGAAAUCAACCGAGAUUCCCCCAGUAGCGGCGAGCGAACGGGGAGCAGCCCAGAGUCUGAAUCAGCUUGUGUGUUAGUGGAACGGUCUGGAAAGUCCGACGGUACAGGGUGAUAGUCCCGUACACCAAAAUGCACAGGCUGUGAACUCGAAGAGUAGGGCGGGACACGUGGUAUCCUGUCUGAAUAUGGGGGGACCAUCCUCCAAGGCUAAAUACUCCUGACUGACCGAUAGUGAACCAGUACCGUGAGGGAAAGGCGAAAAGAACCCCGGCGAGGGGAGUGAAAAAGAACCUGAAACCGUGUACGUACAAGCAGUGGGAGCACCUUCGGGUGUGACUGCGUACCUUUUGUAUAAUGGGUCAGCGACUUAUAUUCUGUAGCAAGGUUAACCGUAUAGGGGAGCCGCAGGGAAACCGAGUCUUAACUGGGCGUUAAGUUGCAGGGUAUAGACCCGAAACCCGGUGAUCUAGCCAUGGGCAGGUUGAAGGUUGGGUAACACUAACUGGAGGACCGAACCGACUAAUGUUGAAAAAUUAGCGGAUGACUUGUGGCUGGGGGUGAAAGGCCAAUCAAACCGGGAGAUAGCUGGUUCUCCCCGAAAGCUAUUUAGGUAGCGCCUCGUGAACUCAUCUUCGGGGGUAGAGCACUGUUUCGGCUAGGGGGUCAUCCCGACUUACCAACCCGAUGCAAACUACGAAUACCGAAGAAUGUUAUCACGGGAGACACACGGCGGGUGCUAACGUCCGUCGUGAAGAGGGAAACAACCCAGACCGCCAGCUAAGGUCCCAAAGUCAUGGUUAAGUGGGAAACGAUGUGGGAAGGCACAGACAGCCAGGAUGUUGGCUUAGAAGCAGCCAUCAUUUAAAGAAAGCGUAAUAGCUCACUGGUCGAGUCGGCCUGCGCGGAAGAUGUAACGGGGCUAAACCAUGCACCGAAGCUGCGGCAGCGACACUAUGUGUUGUUGGGUAGGGGAGCGUUCUGUAAGCCUGCGAAGGUGACCUGUGAGGGUUGCUGGAGGUAUCAGAAGUGCGAAUGCUGACAUAAGUAACGAUAAAGCGGGUGAAAAGCCCGCUCGCCGGAAGACCAAGGGUUCCUGUCCAACGUUAAUCGGGGCAGGGUGAGUCGACCCCUAAGGCGAGGCCGAAAGGCGUAGUCGAUGGGAAACAGGUUAAUAUUCCUGUACUUGGUGUUACUGCGAAGGGGGGACGGAGAAGGCUAUGUUAGCCGGGCGACGGUUGUCCCGGUUUAAGCAUGUAGGCUGGUUGUCCAGGCAAAUCCGGAUAAUCAAGGCUGAGGUGUGAUGACGAGGCACUACGGUGCUGAAGUAACAAAUGCCCUGCUUCCAGGAAAAGCCUCUAAGCAUCAGGUAACAUCAAAUCGUACCCCAAACCGACACAGGUGGUCAGGUAGAGAAUACCAAGGCGCUUGAGAGAACUCGGGUGAAGGAACUAGGCAAAAUGGUGCCGUAACUUCGGGAGAAGGCACGCUGGUGUGUAGGUGAAGCCCCUGCGGGUGGAGCUGAGACCAGUCGAAGAUACCAGCUGGCUGCAACUGUUUAUUAAAAACACAGCACUGUGCAAACACGAAAGUGGACGUAUACGGUGUGACGCCUGCCCGGUGCCGGAAGGUUAAUUGAUGGGGUUAUCCGUAAGGAGAAGCUCUUGAUCGAAGCCCCGGUAAACGGCGGCCGUAACUAUAACGGUCCUAAGGUAGCGAAAUUCCUUGUCGGGUAAGUUCCGACCUGCACGAAUGGCGUAAUGAUGGCCAGGCUGUCUCCACCCGAGACUCAGUGAAAUUGAACUCGCUGUGAAGAUGCAGUGUACCCGCGGCAAGACGGAAAGACCCCGUGAACCUUUACUAUAGCUUGACACUGAACAUUGAGCCUUGAUGUGUAGGAUAGGUGGGAGGCUUUGAAGCGUGGACGCCAGUCUGCGUGGAGCCAACCUUGAAAUACCACCCUUUAAUGUUUGAUGUUCUAACGUUGGCCCCUUACCGGGGUUGCGGACAGUGUCUGGUGGGUAGUUUGACUGGGGCGGUCUCCUCCCAAAGCGUAACGGAGGAGCACGAAGGUUAGCUAAUCCUGGUCGGACAUCAGGAGGUUAGUGCAAUGGCAUAAGCUAGCUUGACUGCGAGCGUGACGGCGCGAGCAGGUGCGAAAGCAGGUCAUAGUGAUCCGGUGGUUCUGAAUGGAAGGGCCAUCGCUCAACGGAUAAAAGGUACUCCGGGGAUAACAGGCUGAUACCGCCCAAGAGUUCAUAUCGACGGCGGUGUUUGGCACCUCGAUGUCGGCUCAUCACAUCCUGGGGCUGAAGUAGGUCCCAAGGGUAUGGCUGUUCGCCAUUUAAAGUGGUACGCGAGCUGGGUUUAGAACGUCGUGAGACAGUUCGGUCCCUAUCUGCCGUGGGCGCUGGAGAAUUGAGGGGGGCUGCUCCUAGUACGAGAGGACCGGAGUGGACGCAUCACUGGUGUUCGGGUUGUCAUGCCAAUGGCACUGCCCGGUAGCUAAAUGCGGAAGAGAUAAGUGCUGAAAGCAUCUAAGCACGAAACUUGCCCCGAGAUGAGUUCUCCCUGAGACUUUAAGUCUCCUGAAGGAACGUUGAAGACGACGACGUUGAUAGGCCGGGUGUGUAAGCGCAGCGAUGCGUUGAGCUAACCGGUACUAAUGAACCGUGAGGCUUAACCUUACAACGCCGAAG